Long non-coding RNA from Triticum aestivum (bread wheat), 3015 nucleotides. RefSeq lists it as uncharacterized. Lineage: Eukaryota; Viridiplantae; Streptophyta; Magnoliopsida; Poales; Poaceae. The record is from RefSeq and is a predicted model, not a curated record. The transcript has 6 exons.
CUUAAAAACGCAUCAAGCCUCCUCCUCCUCUCCUCUCUCGUUUUUCCUCCCCAACUAGGGUUGCCGUCGCCGCCGCCCCAUCGCUCCUCUGGCACUGCCCACCGGAGAAAGGCUUACUUCUCCCCCAGGGUCUUCUACUCUUGGGGCUAAUCUAACAGGAAGGGCGGCGCUGCUCCUCCCCCGACAGCAAGGCGGGUGUCCUGCGCGCUCACCAGCGAGGGAGAGGUUGCCACCUCACCACCUCUCCUCACCUCCUCCCAGGUUCCUGACUCAAGCGGAGAGGGAUAACUGCAUCCACAGAUUCGUGAAGUUCUUGUCUACGUGUGGUGAAACAGAGGUGACCAACGAGGACGCCGAGGCAAACUUUUCACCGCCUAUCAUGUUAUUAUAAUUCCAGCCAUGGAACAAUGAAGAACUUACCAAGGAAUACCCAAACGUUCUACUGUUAUAAUUAUGCGUGCACUUUGGAUCUAUUGGAUGUCUGGAUGUGCCGCAGAUCCACAUUCACUGAUGCAAAGGACUCAGGAUAAGGAUUUCCUGAUCUUCUGCUUGCCACAUCUUGGUAUUUCUCAUCUAAACAUGAAUUCAGAAUGUUCCCUUUUGCAUCCAAGUAAAACUAUUCAUCGACAUUCUAUCAUUUACCCAAAUCACUCACUUUUCUUAGUGCUGAUAGCGAAUUUACCAUCAGUUACAACUCUGUUUGGUUUUGAGUUACUGUUUCACUAAUUGACACCUGCAAGGAGUCCUGAUGAAGUGAACGAUCUGUGUGCAUGAAUCCGAUUAAGCUGUGUUAGGUUGAUACCUUUUGUGCAGAAGGGUUUGGCGCUGUAAUUCUUGCUCCCUGUGGUAAUUCUGUUGUGUUGCAUGGCUAGCUUGCUGUACAUGGCUCGAUAUGCAAUUGGCCUGGGAUGACAUGGUUUCACCGAUUAGCCGGUUCCUACUGGCUGUUGAUUUGGUCCUUUUUUAUGUAAAUAUAAUUUGCAGGUGUAAUUCUUGGUUAUUUAGAUACUAGCUGUCCUAUACGUACAUUUCUGAUGAUUCAGUUGGUCUUAGUAAUACUGAAGUAUAGAGUAUAGCCUCUAAUUUGUAUGCAAAUAUAAUUCUUUUAUUGCUUUUCAUAGAUUAGUUCAUUCUUUAGGUGUAUAUGCUCUUUAUAGUUUAUGUUUCCUUGCUGUUUAUGUACGUACGCUUAUAGAAUUAUACUAACCCAAAUGUUGUGAGGUGCUUGGUGUCCUAUAUACAGUAAUAUACCAAGUGCAUGUGUGUGCUUGGUGUUCUGCAUACGUGUAGAUGGUUAUAGAUGUGCUACCAUGGCCUAUUUCUUAUCUUAUAGGUUAUGGGCGGUAUCUUAUCUUGCCUAAAUCUGAUUUGAACAAAUGCUACACUUGCUCUCCCCACUCGUUCUUUCUCUCCUCCUCUCACUUCUUUUGCCAGCCAAUGACAUUGCACUGAAGCUCUCACUGGGAUUUAAUAGAUGCUGCACUUAUAUGCUUCGAUGAAGGCGUAGUCCUAGCAUCUCUAGGCUGUCUAAGGACAUCUCCACUCUAAAAUCCUACCUCUGUUCUUCUGGCUCAGAUUAACCUUCCUCUUGUGGUAAGCCUGCAUCUCCUAGCUGGUCACUCAGAGAUUGGCAGCGAUGAGGAGGCUCGGCCCUUGGUGCAGACCUGAACCCCCCAGCGGUGGCAGCGUCGGAUCUCUCCGCCUCACGGGGCUAGGUUUCCCAUCCACGCCGCGACACUGCCGGCAUGACGGCCCGGGUUCGGGCAGCGGCCGUGGUGUUGGGUGCGCUGGUGAGGUCUCUGGGGAACGAGAGGCAAGGGACUGGCACGGCUUUCGGUCAUAGGUUCUGGCAACACCAAGCUGUAGAUCUGAGCCACCGUCUCCACAGUAGGCAUAGCCCUAUGGUAGAUGCUUUGUGUGCUCCCUUGAUGUAGUGUCCUCUUGCCACCAUCCUGAGACAAGAUACAAGCACCAGCGUUCUGCUCCUUUAAUUUGUCUGAACUUUCUAAUAGCCGCGUGUUGACUCUGAGCACACUAUUUUAGCUAAAACUAUGUACCGCAGGUGCAGCUUUGACAUGUUCUGAUGGAAUUACCAACCAAGAUGACAUCAAGCAGCAACAAUAUAGCCUCUGGUCUUUAACAAGGUCAGUUCACCUCACCUUGCAAACUACGACGGCGGCAAGAUCAACCAUCCAACAACACAGUUUCUCUCAUGUCCAAUACUUUCCUCUGCCAAACUGGAUCCAACAUAUUUUCUUGAUGUUUGGCAAUGCACUCUUAAGUGUCUGUGAAUUAUUAACUUGCAAAGACUGCUUGAUGUGGUGGAGAUAGUUACAGUACACCAAGGAAAACAAAUACGAUGUUGAUACAUGCAAGUAUUGUUUUAUUUUCAAUAUAAAAGUGCCAAAUUUAGCUUGUGCCAGGGGCAACAUUCGAGGCUGAAUGUGAUGAAAGCUUGCAGCCGAUAAUUGGCAUGGUCCUUGUUUGAUGGAAAUUCAGCGAGUGAUGGUGAUGUGAUCGAAGAUGACCCUGUUUUGUUGAGAUGGCCGGCUCCGUCCUGCUCCAGCGUUGCCGCCCGUCAACCCAACGAACACAAGAUGCAUUAACAGGAGAAUCACAACGCAGAUUCUGUUCCUCUAUGUUUAUAAGGUCUUUGAAGAAAAUCCAAGAAGGCUGACAGGGUUCGAUCAUCGAGUUGGCUACACAUAGUUUCCUGGGUAAUGUUCACUCUGGUGAAACAUGUUAUGUUGAAGAGAAGUAUGGAAAUCCACCUGUCUUCAUUACUAAGAAUGGUAGGUCGCUGAAGUUUGUAUUUUUGCCAGCUGAUAAGAUUUUUGCCCUUAAAUAAAUUCUCAGUUGAUAAGUUGGUGCAUUACCACAACGACUACAUGCCAGCCUCCUAGGUGCUAUAAGAUGGUUUCAUUUUUCUGUGAUGCCAGAACUGAACCACCAACACUGAGCAUCAGCAACGUAUACCACUGUAAUCGUUGUUCUGGAUGUAAAAGACCAUGAACC